GGUUAAAAGGUGUACCACUACUUAUUCUUGCCAAUAAACAAGAUCUAGAGGUUGUGUGAAAUAUGAAAUUUUCAGUUAUGUUAGAAUAUGAAACAACCUUAUUAUAUUGUAUAUAUUUGAGAUGUCAAGAUCUAAACCAUACAACACAGAAUAUUAUUUCUUUGUUUGCAUUUGCCAUAAUAUCUUUUUCCGUUGUGAUAUUUAAUGGUUACAAUGCCUUAUAAUUCCUAUAUUUCCCAAACAAUAAUUUAUAUAUUCCAUUAUAAUAAAGUAUGAAAUGUUGGUAAGUUGUUAUUUUUCUAGUUUGCUGAUAAUUUUUAUACGACUGCAAAAAUUGAAAUUGUUGGUCGUAUAUUGGUAUCACUUGGCGUCAUCGUCGUCGUCCGAAGACAUUGAUUUUUUCGCUCUAAACUUUAGUAAAAGUAAUGGAAAUCUAUGAAAUUUAAACACAAGGUUUAUGACAAUGAAGAAAGGUUGGAUUGAUUUUGGUUUUUGGUCUAACAUUUUUAUAGGAAUUAGGCCAAAAGGGCCCAAAAUAAGCAUUUUUCUUGGUUUUCGCACAAUAACCUUAGUAUCAGAGUUUAGUUAACAGAAAUCUAAUGAAAUUUUAACAUAAGGUCAUGACCACAAAAGGAAGGUUGGGAUGAUUUUGGAGUUUUAGUCCCAACAGUUUAGGAAUUAUGGGCCAAAAACAGGUCCCAAAUAAGCAUUUUUCUUGGUUUUUGCACAAUAAAUUUAGUAUAAGUUAAUAGAAAUCUAUGAAAUUUUAACACAAGGUUUAUGACCACAAAAAGAAGGUUUGGAUUGAUUUUGGAAGUUUUGGUCCCAACGAAUUAGGGGCCAAAAGGGUUCAAAAUUAAACUUUGUUUUAUUUCAUUAAAAAUUGAAUUAUUGGGGUUGUUUGAUAUGCCAAAUCUAACCAUAUAUUUAGAUUCUUAAUAUUUGGUCCUGUUUUCAAAUUGGUCUACAUUAAGGUCCAAAGGGUCCAAAAUUAAACUCAGUUUGAUUUUAAUAAAAAUUGAAUUCUUGGGGUUCUUUGAUAUGCUGAAUCUAAACAUGUACUAGAUUUUUGAUUAUUGGCCCAGUUUUCAAGUUGGUCCAAAUCGGGGUCCAAAAUUAAACAUUGUUUGAUUUCAACAAACAUUGAAUUCUUGGGGUUCUUUGAUAUACUGAAUCUAAACAUGUACUUCGAUUUUUUAUUAUGGCCCAGUUUUCAAGUUUGUCUAAAUCGUGGUUCAAAAUUAAAAUUUGUUUGAUAUCAACAAAAAUUGAAAAUUUGGGGUUCUUUGAUAUGCUGAAUCUAACCAUGUAUUUAGAUUUUCGAUAUUGAACCAUAAUAGGUAAUGUCCAAUUUAAAAUUUAAAGUUUUUUAAGUUUAAGUUCUUAGACCACAUUCAUUAUGUGUCAGAAACCUGCCCCAAUGUUCAGGGUUCAAACUCUGCAGUCGUAUAAAGCUGUGCCCUGCGGAGCAUCUGGUUAAAGUUUAAGUUCUUAGACCACAUUCAUUCUGUAUCAGAAACCUAUGUUUUGUCAACUAUUUAAUCAAAAUCCAAAUUCAGAGCUGUAUUAAGCUUAAAUGUUGUGUCCAUACUUGCCCCAACUGUUCAGGGUUCGACCUAUGUGGUUGUAUAAAGCCUACCCUGCAGAGCAUCUGGUUUUAUUUCUGUAACCGUAGUCUGUUGAGAAUAACCUUUUCAUUAAUUUAAUGUUAACCUCAUCAUUAAAUGAAUGUAAAUUAUCAAACCACUGCCUUAUGACCAUUUGUUCAUCUAUUACUAUACAUUUGCUUGGAUCUAUUAUUGCACAAGAUUUACAAGUUUUGUAAAUAAAAAUUCUAAUAAAUUCUUUUUUUAUUUUAAGGGUUGUAUGAAAGCUUCAGAAGUCAAAAAGGUGUUCAACAGUAGUGCACAACUGUUUGGAGAUAGAGAAUGCAAGUUUCUUGGUACAUCUGCACUCAAAGGGUAAUAAAUUAAAAUAUUAAUUUGUUUUAUUGUUCAUAUUAAAAUAUCUACAAAUUCCAGCACAAAAUAAUUUACACAUAUCCUUUCUUAAACAGUAAAAAGCCUUAUUAUAUUGAUUUAAGAAUGCAUAAUGUAAAAUAGUAUGAACAAAACAGGACAGUAACCCUACAACACCAAUAAAAAAAAUACAGAUCAUAAAAAGGAUCUCCUGAAAUACACAAGCAACAGCACCACAAUAUGCAGGGCUGUAAGGUGUUUGGAGUCUGACUAAGCGUGAAUAAAUUCAAAAGAACUGAACUAAACUGAACAGCUUAAUGUGAAAAAAAGUAUGAGACAAUAAAGUAUCAUGACCUAGGAAAGACAUUGACUUAGGUUAGGUAUAUUUAAAACAAAGUUUAUAACUUAAGUUAGAUACUUUAAGAAUAUCUCUGAUUUUAAUAAGGAUACUAGUCAUUAUAAUUUUAUAAUUACUGAGGAAAAGGGAAUGUGCUGCUUCAUAAUAGCAUUCAAAAUGAUGACAUUUGAUCAGCUGUCAUUGUUAAAAAUAUUGUGCUAUUAUGUAAUAUAUACCUUUUUAUUAGAAACACAUUUUAUAAAUGAUAGACCUCUUCAAGUGCUUGUAUUAUAUGAUUUAUUUUUGCCAGAGAUGGUGUCCAUGAAGGGAUAGAAUGGAUUAAAGAAGGAAUUAAAAGAAACAAUAUAGACAGACCUCCAAUGCAGAAAGAAAUAACUUAAAAUGCUCAUAUUAUUAUGUAAACAAAUGAAUGUUUAUUACAAGAUAGUCACAUGACAUCCCUUCUUCCAAUUAACAAUAGUAUGAAACCACCUUGCUGUAGUGUAUAUAUAUGCUAGAUACAUUUUGUAGUUGGUUGGUUCUUAUAUAACAAAAAGUAUACUUCAAAUGGAAGUUUAACAGCGAAAUCAAAAUAUAUAGUCAAAUGUUUAAUUCUUGAUGUAUCAUGUUCAGACACAAUUUUACCAAGGGUCUAAUAUGUUGAUGGUUUUUAUUAAUUUUUCAGUAAAUUCAAAGACCUUUAACUUUAGAAGCAGAAAUACAAUUGAAAUUAAAAUAUAAAUGUGGAAAAGAAUUUAAAGCUUGAUAUAAAAAGACUGAAUUCAAACAUAAUUGAAGUGGUUACAUUUUCUGACUAAUUGUGUAUCUGGAAAGUCCUGUUACUUCACCCUUUCCAUUUGGUAUACUGUUGACCUUACAUUCCAUACUUCUUAGCAGAUAAUAAGACUUCAGCUCUUAGUUGUGAUUCAGUAGAGGUUUUACAUUGUUUUUUUAUGAGAAUUCUUAUAAUUGUUGCUCUUGAAGAAUUACUCAUUUUUUUAAUUUCUUUAAUUUUUUGACAUUGGCAAUCAUGCAUAAUCACUUGCAUAGUAGUAAGAAUCAACAUGAUAUCCACUCUCAUGUACAUUAAGUUAUGUAGCAGUUCCUUAAAUCUCUUCUUGAUUUUUGUAUCAAACAUUGGAAACUUAACUGUAUGUUUACCAAAUUAUUUCUUUGGAUUCCAUAUAAAAAUCCUUGUCUGAUUUUGUGAGUCAAAUUUGUAGUAACUCACAUGGUUUUCAAGCUUUAAGGGACCAAAAACCAACACUUCUGUUUAUUAAAUUUUUGGGGAUUAUGUUACAUUUGAAUAAUAUUGUCUGUAGUCAGAUUUGCUGUUGCUAAAUAGUAUGUAAUGUAUAUUGAUUGGUAAACACUGUGUUUAAUAGCUGUAAUUUUAUUGUAAUAAUACUGCCUUUAAUUUAUGAAGUAAUGAUGUUUUUUUAUGAAACAUAUUUUGCAAUCUUAAACCCAUUAUGUAAAUAGAUAUGUUUAUGCUGAACACAAAUUGAGAUUAUGUCCCUGCACAAAUUUUCCUACAUAAAAGAAAAAAAUAAAGAUUUCCAAGUUGAUUGAUUAAUCAAAACCAAGUUUUUAAAAAUAAGAUAAGAGCAUGAUUAUUAAUAAAAUAGCAGUUUGCUGUAUAUAUGCAACAUAAUCGUUAUUGAAUUAAAUGAAAGGUCACUGGAACCAACUACCAGGUAAAGUUGUGCAUGCAGGUUCUGUAGAGGCAUUUAAGACCACUCUACAAGAACACCGCCCAUAAUAACGGCGCUCUUCUCGACCGUGUAUAAAAGCCUAAACAGGAUUCUACACGUACCACUACAGAUACAGAGACAGACAGUAAUGGUCCUCAACAAGUACAGAAUUUUCUUUAAUGUUAAUUAGUGCUUACUUAAUCUUAAAACAAAAUGAGAAUAUUUAAGUCAAACCUCAAAAAUUGGUACAUCUUCAGAAAAUAUGUUGUCUGAACUAUAUCUAAUAUAAUAUCAUCAAUGAAUGCUUAAAACUUGUCCUUAUAAAUAUAAUCCAGAUGUAUCAUAUGUUAAUGACAAAAUUCAUUAAGCAUAAUUAACAAGAGUGCACACACUGAAAUGUCUCGCCUUCUCUACUAAUCAUUGAUAUUAUGUUGAGUCCUAAGUAUAAAGUUAAGCAUUAUAACAACUGUCACAUAAACUUAACAUUAACCAAGAUAACUAAACAAAGACCAAUGAACCUUAAAAAUGAGGUCAAGGUCAGAUGAACCAUGCCAGGCAGACAUGUACAGCUAACAAUUGCUUUAUCACAACUAUAU
Molecule: long non-coding RNA, 4585 nt
Filed under: Mytilus galloprovincialis (Mediterranean mussel)
Lineage: Eukaryota; Metazoa; Mollusca; Bivalvia; Mytilida; Mytilidae
Source: RNAcentral